This 325-nucleotide long non-coding RNA is filed under the name Nicotiana benthamiana. Its description in RNAcentral is "long non-coding RNA (NBEN_LNC034751)". Lineage: Eukaryota; Viridiplantae; Streptophyta; Magnoliopsida; Solanales; Solanaceae. The record is from RNAcentral.
AUGUAGGCUCUGAUACCAUGAAAACAUGCAAGAAACCAUAGAAAUUUAGAGAGAGAAAGUAGAGAGAAGGAGGAGAGUUUCGGAAGAGUCUCGAAGAAUUGACCAGAUAUUAUUUCACCAAAAUGACCCCUCGGUCUAUUUUACAAACGACCCUUCAACAUAUAUACAAACUGACCCUAUUACACAAAUAGCCUAUUACAUAGAUAGCCUUUUACAGAAUAGCCUAUUACACAAAUAGCCUAUUAGGCUCAGAUAUGACUCCCUCAUUGACUCAUAAUGGUCUAUGUAUGGGGUUUAUCAUCAUUGCCCUACAUAUAUCUCAACA